RNAcentral lists this ribosomal RNA (194 nucleotides) under uncultured bacterium. RNAcentral describes it as "partial 16S ribosomal RNA". It matches the Rfam family "Bacterial small subunit ribosomal RNA", at positions 338 to 524 of the family's 1533-position model. The record is from RNAcentral.
CCUACGGGAGGCAGCAGUGGGGAAUUUUGGACAAUGGGCGAAAGCCUGAUCCAGCCAUGCCGCGUGCAGGAUGAAGGCCCUCGGGUUGUAAACUGCUUUUGUACGGAACGAAAAGACUCUGGUUAAUACCUGGGGUCCAUGACGGUACCGUAAGAAUAAGCACCGGCUAACUCUGUGCCAGCAGCCGCGGUAAU